RNAcentral lists this ribosomal RNA (253 nucleotides) under uncultured bacterium. RNAcentral describes it as "partial 16S ribosomal RNA". It matches the Rfam family "Bacterial small subunit ribosomal RNA", at positions 524 to 776 of the family's 1533-position model. The record is from RNAcentral.
UACGUAGGGUGCAAGCGUUGUCCGGAAUUACUGGGCGUAAAGGGCUCGUAGGCGGCCAACUAAGUCAGACGUGAAAUCCCUCGGCUUAACCGGGGAACUGCAUCUGAUACUGGAUGGCUUGAGAUUGGGAGAGGGAUGCGGAAUUCCAGGUGUAGCGGUGAAAUGCGUAGAUAUCUGGAGGAACACCGGUGGCGAAGGCGGCGACCUGGGUAGAUACUGACGCUGAGGCGCGAAAGCGUGGGGAGCAAACAGG